This 83-nucleotide microRNA precursor is filed under the name Pan paniscus (pygmy chimpanzee). RNAcentral's name for it is "miRNA (ENSPPAG00000007423.1)". The record is from RNAcentral. Lineage: Eukaryota; Metazoa; Chordata; Mammalia; Primates; Hominidae.
UAUUAGGUUGGUGCAAAAGUAAUUGCAGUUUUGCCAUUACAUUUAAUGGCAAAAAUAGCAAUUACUUUUGUACCAAGCUAAUA